RNAcentral lists this ribosomal RNA (521 nucleotides) under uncultured bacterium. RNAcentral's name for it is "bacterial SSU rRNA". It matches the Rfam family "Bacterial small subunit ribosomal RNA", at positions 12 to 525 of the family's 1533-position model. The record is from RNAcentral.
UUUGAUCCUGGCUCAAAAUGAACGCUGGCGGCGUGGAUAACACAUGCAAGUCGAACGGAAACACUGAUUAGUUUACUAAGAUGUGUUUUAGUGGCGGACGGGUUAGUAACACGUGAGCAACCUGCCUCGAAGCGGGGGAUAGCCUUCCGAAAGGGAGAUUAAUACCGCAUAUGGUCUACGGAUCAAAGGAGCCUUCGGGUUUCACUUCGAGAUGGGCUCGCGGCCUAUCAGCUAGUUGGUGAGGUAAAGGCUCACCAAGGCAACGACGGGUACCUGGUCUGAGAGGAUGAUCAGCAACCCUGGAACUGAGACACGGUCCAGACACCUACGGGUGGCAGCAUUCGAGAAUCAUUCACAAUGGACGAAAGUCUGAUGGUGCAACGCCGCGUGGAGGAUGAAGGACCUAGGUUCGUUACUCCUGUCAUAUAUGAGUAAGGCAUAUUGGGAAUAAUACCCUGAUAUGUUUGAUACUAUAAUAAGAGGAAAGGACGGCUUCUUCGUGCUUGGCAGCUGCGGUAAUA